This 464-nucleotide ribosomal RNA is filed under the name uncultured Streptococcus sp. RNAcentral describes it as "bacterial SSU rRNA". It matches the Rfam family "Bacterial small subunit ribosomal RNA", at positions 916 to 1382 of the family's 1533-position model. Lineage: Bacteria; Bacillati; Bacillota; Bacilli; Lactobacillales; Streptococcaceae. The record is from RNAcentral.
GGGGCCCGCACAAGCGGUGGAGCAUGUGGUUUAAUCGAAGCAACGCGAAGAACCUUACCAGGUCUUGACAUCCCGAUGCUAUUUCUAGAGAUAGAAAGUUACUUCGGUACAUCGGUGACAGGUGGUGCAUGGUUGUCGUCAGCUCGUGUCGUGAGAUGUUGGGUUAAGUCCCGCAACGAGCGCAACCCCUAUUGUUAGUUGCCAUCAUUCAGUUGGGCACUCUAGCGAGACUGCCGGUAAUAAACCGGAGGAAGGUGGGGAUGACGUCAAAUCAUCAUGCCCCUUAUGACCUGGGCUACACACGCGCUACAAUGGUUGGUACAACGAGUUGCGAGUCGGUGACGGCGAGCUAAUCUCUUAAAGCCAAUCUCAGUUCGGAUUGUAGGCUGCAACUCGCCUACAUGAAGUCGGAAUCGCUAGUAAUCGCGGAUCAGCACGCCGCGGUGAAUACGUUCCCGGGCCUU